Molecule: ribosomal RNA, 232 nt
Filed under: Lachnospiraceae bacterium
Lineage: Bacteria; Bacillati; Bacillota; Clostridia; Lachnospirales; Lachnospiraceae
Description: partial 23S ribosomal RNA
Rfam family: Bacterial large subunit ribosomal RNA
Source: RNAcentral
GAGAGGACCGGGAUGGACGGACCACUGGUGUACCUGUUGGCGACCAACGCCAUGGCAGGGUAGCCAAGUCCGGCAGGGAUAAACGCUGAAGGCAUCUAAGCGUGAAGCCCCCCUCAAGAUGAGAUAUCCCAAGUAGUAAGACCCCUUAGAGAGUAUGAGGUAGAUAGGCUUAAGGUGUAAGUGCAGUAAUGCAUUCAGCUGAUAAGUACUAAUCGGUCGAGGGCUUGACCAA